Bombyx mori (domestic silkworm) is the source of this 97-nucleotide non-coding RNA. NCBI's taxonomy places the organism in Eukaryota, Metazoa, Arthropoda, Insecta, Lepidoptera, Bombycidae. The record is from Rfam.
GUGGACGUUUAACUUUACGAUUAUGGACUCAGUUCCAAAAGAUAGCUGGUGUCUUAUGUGGGACGAAACCGUGGCGGGUUGAGGUGGAAAUGAAAUG